AUUGAACGCUGGCGGCAGGCCUAACACAUGCAAGUCGAGCGAGCGGGGGACGGGGGAGUAAUGUCUGGGAAAAUGCCUGAUGGAGGGGGAUAACUACUGGAAAAGGUAGAGAAUAUCCCACAUCACCAGAUGUGCCCCGAUGUGAUAUGCUGGAUGGUGGGGUAAAGGCGCACCAAGGCGACAAUCCCUAGCUGGUCUGAGAGGAUGACCAGCCAAACUGGAACGGGGACACGGUCCAGACUCCUACGGGAGGCAGCAGUGGGGAAUAUUGCACAAUGGGCGCAAGCCUGAUGCAGCCAUGCCGCGUGUAUGAAGAAGGCCUUCGGGUUGUAAAGUACUUUCAGCGGGGAGGCGUUACCCGCAGAAGAAGCACCGGCUAACUCCGUGCCAGCAGCCGCGGUAAUUC
RNAcentral lists this ribosomal RNA (406 nucleotides) under uncultured bacterium. RNAcentral describes it as "partial 16S ribosomal RNA". It matches the Rfam family "Bacterial small subunit ribosomal RNA", at positions 29 to 526 of the family's 1533-position model. The record is from RNAcentral.